RNAcentral lists this ribosomal RNA (791 nucleotides) under uncultured bacterium. Its description in RNAcentral is "bacterial SSU rRNA". It matches the Rfam family "Bacterial small subunit ribosomal RNA", at positions 8 to 796 of the family's 1533-position model. The record is from RNAcentral.
AGAGUUUGAUCAUGGCUCAGAUUGAACGCUGGCGGCAGGCCUAACACAUGCAAGUCGAGCGGUAGAGAGAAGCUUGCUUCUCUUGAGAGCGGCGGACGGGUGAGUAAUGCCUAGGAAUCUGCCUGGUAGUGGGGGAUAACGCUCGGAAACGGACGCUAAUACCGCAUACGUCCUACGGGAGAAAGCAGGGGACCUUCGGGCCUUGCGCUAUCAGAUGAGCCUAGGUCGGAUUAGCUAGUUGGUGAGGUAAUGGCUCACCAAGGCGACGAUCCGUAACUGGUCUGAGAGGAUGAUCAGUCACACUGGAACUGAGACACGGUCCAGACUCCUACGGGAGGCAGCAGUGGGGAAUAUUGGACAAUGGGCGAAAGCCUGAUCCAGCCAUGCCGCGUGUGUGAAGAAGGUCUUCGGAUUGUAAAGCACUUUAAGUUGGGAGGAAGGGCAGUUGCCUAAUACGUAGCUGUUUUGACGUUACCGACAGAAUAAGCACCGGCUAACUCUGUGCCAGCAGCCGCGGUAAUACAGAGGGUGCAAGCGUUAAUCGGAAUUACUGGGCGUAAAGCGCGCGUAGGUGGUUUGUUAAGUUGGAUGUGAAAUCCCCGGGCUCAACCUGGGAACUGCAUUCAAAACUGACAAGCUAGAGUAUGGUAGAGGGUGGUGGAAUUUCCUGUAGCGGUGAAAUGCGUAGAUAUAGGAAGGAACACCAGUGGCGAAGGCGACCACCUGGACUGAUACUGACACUGAGGUGCGAAAGCGUGGGGAGCAAACAGGAUUAGAUACCCUAGUAGUCC